GAUGAAGAACGUAGCGAAAUGCGAUAAGUAAUGUGAAUUGCAGAAUCCAGUGAAUCAUCGAAUCUUUGAACGCACAUUGCGCCCACCAGCAUUCUGGCGGGCAUGCCUGUUCGAGCGUCAUUUCAACCCUCGACCUCCCCUUGGGGAGGUCGGCGUUGGGGACCGGCAGCACACCGCCGGCCCUGAAAUGGAGUGGCGGCCCGUCUGCGGCGACCUCUGCGUAGUAAUACAGCUCGCACCGGAACCCCGACGCGGCCACGCCGUAAAACACCCAACUUCUGAACGUUGACCUCGAAUCAGGUAGGACUACCCGCUGAACUUAAGCAUAUCAAUAAGCGGAGGA
Molecule: unclassified non-coding RNA, 343 nt
Filed under: soil metagenome
Description: partial contains 5.8S ribosomal RNA, internal transcribed spacer 2, and large subunit ribosomal RNA
Rfam family: 5.8S ribosomal RNA (bases 1-120)
Source: RNAcentral